UACAGAGGGUGCAAGCGUUACUCGGAAUUACUGGGCGUAAAGCGUGCGUAGGCGGUUCGUUAAGUCUGUCGUGAAAGCCCUGGGCUCAACCUGGGAAUUGCGAUGGAUACUGGCGAGCUAGAGUACGGUAGAGGAUGGUGGAAUUCCCGGUGUAGCGGUGAAAUGCGUAGAGAUCGGGAGGAACACCCGUGGCGAAGGCGGCCAUCUGGACCAGUACUGACGCUGAGGCACGAAAGCGUGGGGAGCAAACAGG
Molecule: ribosomal RNA, 253 nt
Filed under: uncultured bacterium
Lineage: Bacteria
Description: partial 16S ribosomal RNA
Rfam family: Bacterial small subunit ribosomal RNA
Source: RNAcentral